AGCGGCGGACGGGUGAGUAACACGUGGGAAUGUGCCCUUCUGUUGAGGAUAGCCCCGGGAAACUGGGAGUAAUACUCGAUACGCCCUACGGGGGAAGGAAGGAUCAGCCCGCGUCUGAUUAGGUAGUUGGUGGGGUAAUGGCCUACCAAGCCUACGAUCAGUAGCUGGUUUUAGAGGAUGAUCAGCCACACUGGGACUGAGACACGGCCCAGACUCCUACGGGAGGCAGCAGUGGGGAAUCUUAGACAAUGGGCGCAAGCCUGAUCUAGCCAUGCCGCGUGAGUGAUGAGGCCCUAGGGUCGUAAAGCUCUUUCGCCAGGGAUGAUAAUGACAGUACCUGGUAAAGAAACCCCGGCUAACUCCGUGCCAGCAGCCGCGGUAAUACGGAGGGGGUUAGCGUUGUUCGGAAUUACUGGGCGUAAAGCGCACGUAGGCGGUUCAGAAAGUUGGGGGUGAAAUCCCGGGGCUCAACCCCGGAACUGCCUCCAAAACUCCCGGUCUUGAGUUCGAGAGAGGUGAGUGGAAUUCCGAGUGUAGAGGUGAAAUUCGUAGAUAUUCGGAGGAACACCAGUGGCGAAGGCGGCUCACUGGCUCGAUACUGACGCUGAGGUGCGAAAGUGUGGGGAGCAAACAGGAUUAGAUACCCUGGUAGUCCACACCGUAAACGAUGAAUGCCAGUCGUCGGCAAGCAUGCUUGUCG
This 700-nucleotide ribosomal RNA is filed under the name uncultured Alphaproteobacteria bacterium. Its description in RNAcentral is "bacterial SSU rRNA". It matches the Rfam family "Bacterial small subunit ribosomal RNA", at positions 94 to 842 of the family's 1533-position model. The record is from RNAcentral. Lineage: Bacteria; Pseudomonadati; Pseudomonadota; Alphaproteobacteria.